CGAUUCGAGUGGCGGACGGGUGAGUAACGCGUGGGUAACCUGCCUUACACAGGGGGAUAACACCUGGAAACAGGUGCUAAUACCGCAUAAGCGCACAGGGCCGCAUGGCCCGGUGUGAAAAACUCCGGUGGUGUAAGAUGGACCCGCGUCUGAUUAGCUUGUUGGCGGGGUAGGGGCCCACCAAGGCGACGAUCAGUAGCCGGCCUGAGAGGGUGGACGGCCACAUUGGGACUGAGACACGGCCCAAACUCCUACGGAAGGCAGCAG
RNAcentral lists this ribosomal RNA (267 nucleotides) under uncultured bacterium. Its description in RNAcentral is "partial 16S ribosomal RNA". It matches the Rfam family "Bacterial small subunit ribosomal RNA", at positions 87 to 354 of the family's 1533-position model. The record is from RNAcentral.